Hypoxylon sp. FL1284 is the source of this 112-nucleotide non-coding RNA. Lineage: Eukaryota; Fungi; Ascomycota; Sordariomycetes; Xylariales; Hypoxylaceae. The record is from the annotation of a GenBank genome assembly.
GCCCUGCUGGCUCAAUGGUAGAGCAUCAGACUUCUAAGACAGGUUGAAUGGAUCUCGCCAUAACUUACGUCUAGACAUCUGAAGGUUGUGGGUUCGAGUCCCACGUAGGGUG